RNAcentral lists this ribosomal RNA (312 nucleotides) under uncultured eukaryote. Its description in RNAcentral is "partial large subunit ribosomal RNA". It matches the Rfam family "Eukaryotic large subunit ribosomal RNA", at positions 40 to 350 of the family's 3401-position model. The record is from RNAcentral.
AUAUCAAUAAGCGGAGGAAAAGAAACCAACAGGGAUUGCCUUAGUAACGGCGAGUGAAGCGGCAACAGCUCAAAUUUGAAAUCUGGGCCUCUCAGAUCCCGAGUUGUAAUUUGUAGAGGAUGCUUCGGCUUACGCCCCGGUCUAAAUUCCUUGGAAUAGGAUGUCAUAGAGGGUGAGAAUCCCGUUUGUGGCCGGCGGCUUCCGCUAUGUGAAGCUCCUUCGACGAGUCGAGUUGUUUGGGAAUGCAGCUCUAAAUGGGAGGUAAAUUUCUUCUAAAGCUAAUACCGGCCAGAGACCGAUAGCGCACAAGUA